This 401-nucleotide ribosomal RNA is filed under the name uncultured eukaryote. RNAcentral describes it as "partial 18S ribosomal RNA". It matches the Rfam family "Eukaryotic small subunit ribosomal RNA", at positions 592 to 976 of the family's 1831-position model. The record is from RNAcentral.
CAAUAGCGUAUAUUAACGUUGUUGCAGUUAAAAAGCUCGUAGUUGGAUUUCGGAGUGUUUGGAGUCUUUUACGGUCCGGCGCAAUGCUGUGUUUAUCGUAGCUCCACCUCCUCCUUUCAAAUGCACGCCCCGGUUUCUUAAUUGCGCCGGGAUCCGGGCUUUGGAUCGUUUACUUUGAAAAAAUUUGAGUGUUUAAAGCAGGCGUAAACCUUGCCGCUGUAAACUCUAGCAUGGGAUAAUGGAAUAGGAUUGUUUUGACCUAUUUUGUUGGUUUCUAGUGUCUGCAAUAAUGAUUAAAAGGGAUAGUUGGGGGUAUUAGUAUUUAGUUGUCAGAGGUGAAAUUCUAGGAUCUUCUAAAGACUAACUACUGCGAAAGCAUUUACCUAGGAUGUUUUCAUUAA